This 264-nucleotide ribosomal RNA is filed under the name Idiomarina zobellii. RNAcentral's name for it is "partial 23S ribosomal RNA". It matches the Rfam family "Bacterial large subunit ribosomal RNA", at positions 2679 to 2925 of the family's 2925-position model. The record is from RNAcentral. Lineage: Bacteria; Pseudomonadati; Pseudomonadota; Gammaproteobacteria; Alteromonadales; Idiomarinaceae.
UAGUACGAGAGGACCGGAGUGGACGAACCUCUGGUGUUCGGGUUGUCAUGCCAAUGGCACUGCCCGGUAGCUAUGUUCGGAAUCGAUAACCGCUGAAAGCAUCUAAGCGGGAAGCGAGCCUCGAGAUGAGCUCUCACUAGCACUUUAAGUGCUCUGAAGGGUUGUUGAAGACGACGACGUUGAUAGGCGGGGUGUGGAAGCGUAGUAAUGCGUUGAGCUAACCCGUACUAAUUGCCCGUGAGACUUAACCAUACAACACCGAAG